UCGAUCAUCGUCCUCGCCGUGUUGAAUUAGGUUCCGAUAGACGAAUCGAGCGUGGCCUGGUUGGUCUACAGCUCCGCGUCUCCGAUGAUUUGAGCUCCGGGCUUGAGGGCGUCAGAACUGUCGAGGCCUCGGGUCACGAUCACUCUCGGUCGUUCUGGUCAGGUAUGUGCCGCUUUAGCUCCUUGGCGUCCUCGUAUGAGAUCUUUGGAUCAACUGACGUUUGUUUCAGCUGGACUCAUUGGUUUGCGGAUUCCGCGGUAGCUUCAGUUUCGUUGUUCGGGCCUGUAUCGACUGCGAUGAUAUGGUUUUGUUCGAUCGGUUAUGAUUAGGCGUAAGGUUGAUACGUGCUCUGCUUUUCUGGAGAAAUAUGUCUGAUUACGUGAUCAGUUGAACCCCGAGGGAGGCUCUACCGUCGGAUAACUGAGCUUGUUCUUUGCAAUUUUAGCAGCGGUUCCAUCACCUGGCCGUGGGAUUGGGCCUGUCACGGUCGAACAGAAACUUGUGGAACCUGUGAAACUUGCGGAACCAUGCCUCCUAUGGAACUGGAC
Molecule: long non-coding RNA, 548 nt
Filed under: Eucalyptus grandis
Lineage: Eukaryota; Viridiplantae; Streptophyta; Magnoliopsida; Myrtales; Myrtaceae
Description: long non-coding RNA (EGRA_LNC005988)
Source: RNAcentral